This is a long non-coding RNA of Suricata suricatta (meerkat), 1163 nucleotides long. RefSeq lists it as uncharacterized. The record is from RefSeq and is a predicted model, not a curated record. The transcript has 4 exons. NCBI's taxonomy places the organism in Eukaryota, Metazoa, Chordata, Mammalia, Carnivora, Herpestidae.
CAGGUCUAACAGACCAGCUAAACCCAAGGCCCUUGGAUCACUUUACAUACGGCCAGUGGAGGCUCUGGGGACCCUUUGUGCAGAAAAGCCUCUGCAUUUGAAGGCAGAAGACUACAACCGUGACUUUCUCCACUCACCAUACUUGCAUCGAGUCCCCAGCAAGGGGGGAAUGAGGUGUUUGCCCGGGACUCCUGGCAGGAGAGCUCCGGUGAAGUGAAAGGCAAGCGUCCUUGGGCUGAAAGCAGUCAGGGACUAAGUGUGGUCUGCAGAGCACAGAGCAGGUGGCGGAAGGAGGAGUCAGAAGUGGCGGCUCAGUGCUGCGCCAAAGAGCUUCCCACCCGAGGACUGCAUUUAAGUUCCUAAAUAGGGAAGAAGGUGCCAACACGACCUCAAUAGAGGAAGCUGUAAAAGCGAGUGAACAAAUUUAGCAACCUCGGGUAGCAGUUUACCUGUAACGCUUGGAACAGAAAUGGGCAGCGUGCCAGAAAGCCAGAGGCCCCUUGACAGUGGGAGGGGCGGGGCGCACGCGUGGGAGAAGGUGCUGCUGAGGGAGGAGCAGAGCGAGGACCGGAAGCAGGGUUAAGGUGCACAGGUGCAGGAAAGAUGAAGUUCAUGAAGCAAGUUGCUAAUUGGAACAAGGCACAGGACUUUCAAAACACAAGGAUUCUGGGAUUUACCGUGGAGAGAGUAUCUUAAGUGAAACAACAGCUCUCUUGUUGACAGUCUCAGGCUCUGGCAGAGGAGAUAGACCACUGGUGAUGAUGCCUAUAGGAUUAAGAAGCUAUAACCAACCCUCAAGUCCAUCCUCUGUACAUGUUUCCAGUAUUUUCCUUCUCAAGGUUCAGAUCUAGGCCUUGUGAUGGACACAGACAACUCGACAUGGCCCCUGGUUCUCAGUGAGCUUGCAGUCAAGUGGGAAGGAGAAUCCUGGAUGCUGCUGCCACUUUAAAUAAUCAUAUUCACUCAUGUUUAGCUGUGACUUCGUCAUUUGACUCGGAGCAUGUCAUUUUCUCCCAUUUUAGACUGUGUACAGUCAAGCUGUGUGAAAGGACUCACAGAUAGCAGCCCUGCGUGUGUGAGUGGGCGCAGGCCUCAUUCAGCAAUGAUUUCUAAUUUAUACAGCAUUGAAAAUCCACAGCUAUAAAUAAACAGUUCUGACUGGC